GACGAACGCUGGCGGCGUGCUUAACACAUGCAAGUCGAACGGUAAGGCUCCAGCUUGCUGGGGUACACGAGUGGCGAACGGGUGAGUAACACGUGGGUGACCUGCCCUGCACUUCGGGAUAAGCCUGGGAAACUGGGUCUAAUACCGGAUAGGACCGCACCGUGAGGGUGUGGUGGAAAGUUUUUUCGGUGUGGGAUGGGCCCGCGGCCUAUCAGCUUGUUGGUGGGGUAAUGGCCUACCAAGGCGGCGACGGGUAGCCGGCCUGAGAGGGUGGACGGCCACAUUGGGACUGAGACACGGCCCAGACUCCUACGGGAGGCAGCAGUGGGGAAUAUUGCACAAUGGGCGGAAGCCUGAUGCAGCGACGCCGCGUGGGGGAUGACGGCCUUCGGGUUGUAAACUCCUUUCACCAUCGACGAAGGGUUUCUGACGGUAGAUGGAGAAGAAGCACCGGCUAACUACGUGCCAGCAGCCGCGGUAAUACGUAGGGUGCGAGCGUUGUCCGGAAUUACUGGGCGUAAAGAGCUCGUAGGUGGUUUGUCGCGUCGUCUGUGAAAUUCCGGGGCUUAACUCCGGGCGUGCAGGCGAUACGGGCAUAACUUGAGUACUGUAGGGGAGACUGGAAUUCCUGGUGUAGCGGUGAAAUGCGCAGAUAUCAGGAGGAACACCGGUGGCGAAGGCGGGUCUCUGGGCAGUAACUGACGCUGAGGAGCGAAAGCAUGGGGAGCGAACAGGAUUAGAUACCCUGGUAGUCCAUGCCGUAAACGGUGGGCGCUAGGUGUGGGUUUCCUUCCACGGGAUCCGUGCCGUAGCUAACGCAUUAAGCGCCCCGCCUGGGGAGUACGGCCGCAAGGCUAAAACUCAAAGGAAUUGACGGGGGCCCGCACAAGCGGCGGAGCAUGUGGAUUAAUUCGAUGCAACGCGAAGAACCUUACCUGGGCUUGACAUAUACAGGAUCGCGCCAGAGAUGGUGUUUCCCUUGUGGCUUGUAUACAGGUGGUGCAUGGUUGUCGUCAGCUCGUGUCGUGAGAUGUUGGGUUAAGUCCCGCAACGAGCGCAACUCUUGUCUUAUGUUGCCAGCACGUUGUGGUGGGGACUCGUAAGAAACUGCCGGGGUUAACUCGGAGGAAGGUGGGGAUGACGUCAAAUCAUCAUGCCCCUUAUGUCCAGGGCUUCACACAUGCUACAAUGGUCGGUACAGUGGGUUGCCAGUCCGUGAGGGCGAGCUAAUCCCGCAAAGCCGGUCUCAGUUCGGAUCGGGGUCUGCAACUCGACCCCGUGAAGUCGGAGUCGCUAGUAAUCGCAGAUCAGCAACGCUGCGGUGAAUACGUUCCCGGGCCU
This 1341-nucleotide ribosomal RNA is filed under the name uncultured bacterium. RNAcentral describes it as "16S ribosomal RNA". It matches the Rfam family "Bacterial small subunit ribosomal RNA", at positions 28 to 1381 of the family's 1533-position model. The record is from RNAcentral.